RNAcentral lists this long non-coding RNA (15659 nucleotides) under Cicer arietinum (chickpea). RNAcentral describes it as "long non-coding RNA (CARI_LNC003670)". The record is from RNAcentral. Lineage: Eukaryota; Viridiplantae; Streptophyta; Magnoliopsida; Fabales; Fabaceae.
GAAUCUAAAGUUUGAUAAAGUCAUAGGUGGUGAGACUAAGGUUGUCGAAGGGAUAAAAUACUGCCUCAACAUUACUACUACCGGUGGUAUUGAUUUUAACAAAUAUACUGUUACUGUUUUGGAGAAGGCAUGGCUACACUUUAGAAACCUCACUUACUUUGUGCCUAUUCGUGAUUAAAUCAUUCUUGGAUCUUAUAGCAUCAUUCACAUGUAAUCGUGCAAUAAAUUAUUUUUCAUUAUAAUGAAUUGUGAAUCCAAUUGUGUUGUCAAUAUUUACAAACUUUCUUAUGAAUAUGAUUCUUCGUAAAAUUGUUUAUUUUUAUUUUUAUAGAAAUCGGAAAGUUCAUAUAAGUUUUUGUAUUUUGAUGAGAUAGAUUAUUAUAACAUGUUUGAUUUUCAAUUUGCAAAACUUAAUUUUGUAAUAGAAAAAUAGUUUGACUUGAAAAUUAAUUUUUAAACUUAAUUUUUUUCUAAAUCAACGUUUAUUCAUAAGCAACACAACACUUGUUAUUUAUGGCUCUCAUUUUCUCAUUCAAAUGUGAGAUUUUUGUUAUUUUUUUUCUUUCUCCCCCAAUUAAAUUUUUUUUUUCACACUUGUUUUUUUUUUAAGCUUGAAUUUUUAUGCUUGGUAAAAUUGUCUUCGAUUUUAAUUUACAACAAUUUGUUUUCAUCAUUUGUUUAAUUUAUUUGUGGUUGAGAUAUUUUUGUAGCAGUUAUUGUUAUUUAUCACAUCACUAUAUUAUUCACAUUAAUAUAUAUAUAUAUAUAUAUAUAUAUAUAUAUAUAUAUAUAUAUAUAUAUAUAUAUUAGUAAAUAUACGCUUAAAAAUAUUUUAAAUAUAUAAUUUAAUCAAAUUUUAUUAUGGAAAAUGAAAUUCGAAUACAAAAUAUUAAACAUAAAUUAUGUUAAAUAAAAUUAAUUUAACUAAAAAACACAUUUAUGAACGUUAACCGAAAAAUAUAUUUGAAUUAAAAAUAUUGGUAGAAAGAUUAUAUAAUAAGCAAAAUUCUUAAUUUUAUCUUUGAUUUAAGACCAAGAUAAUGAUUUAACACGAUCUAUGAUUUGAGCUAUAAAAUUACUACGUUGUUUGAAGACACUUGAUUGAAAGCGGUUAGAAUAAAUAUUUUUCUCAGUUUCUGUUUUACAUAAAAUUUAAAGUUUAGUACCUACAUUAUUAGUGUAUGACUCUUUCAUUAGAACUAUAUAUUUUUAUUUUGUACAUUAUUUUUUAUACUUAUUUUGUUUAUUUUAAAAAAAAUAUAUGUCAAAUAUAUAUUAUUUUACAUCAUAAUAUAAAAUAAUAUUUAUUUUUAUUAGUGAGCACUAACUAAUCUGCUAUCAUGCUAUCACACACGUAUAUAUCAAAUGCGAAUUAAUAAAGACGUAACAUAGUGCAGCAACUUGAGGCGUCUUCAAUUAUUUUUUACUCAAUGACCUAUAUUGAAACGACUAAUCAAUUGUAUUUAAAUGGUUUAAUUUUUAUUUGAAAUGAUAUUUUUGUCUAACUAUAGAAUUGAUUAAAUAAAUAUAGAUUAUCUUUAUGUGAAUUUUUUUCUUUAACUAAAUUAAACAUCACACUGAAUGAUAGAUUAAAGUUAAGGAUCAAGCGUCGAAAAAAAUACAAUUGAUAUAAAAAACCAAAUUAUAUCAAAUGAAAUUUGUCAAUUUUAUUGAGAAUUCAAAUUAAACAAUCAGAACAAUAAUAUAAACGAAUGAAAAUGAAUGGGAUCAUCGAGUAUAGAUUAACAAUAUAAGAUAAACCUCAAAGUCUUGAUAAAAUUCGAAAAUAGUGGAGUAAUCCUAUAAUUUAACAUUCCAUGAAAAAUCCAGAAAAAAAGUUAUUAUUCUAUGGUUAAAAAAUAUAAAUUGGAUAUCUAUUCUCCAAAAAAAAUAAAAACCCUUGAUUAUAAAAUCUAAUCAUUAGUUUGUUAAAAUAAUAACUCUUGAUUAUUUCACUUUACAUUUCACUCAUUUUAAAUAAUUAUAAUCAUCUCAUUUAAUAUGUCUUUAAAGAUGAUAUCGAAUGACGCUAUGAUAUCAAAGUUUAAUUUGGCACAAUUUUAGUUUUUUGAUUUUAUUUAAUCGAAAGAUAAAAAACAAUCACUAAAAUAAAUAUUUUAUAAGAUCAAAUAUGUAAUUAUUUGAUUAUAACUUUUCCUAGGAUAGAAGAUUUUGCACCUUAUUAACUAUUGACGAAAAAUUUCCCUUGGUCUCUCUUUGUUUGACAGCAUAAAAUUUCUUUAUUUUUUUAUUAAUAAAAUAUGAAACUUGCACUGUCAAAUCUCUUGAAUAAAAAAUUUACCUCUAUUGUACUCUUAUUAAAUUUGAAGAUAAUACCCGAAUAAAAAGAAUAAAAGCAUAAGAAAUCUUCUUGAUUUUUGUUUGACUUAAUACAUCAUGUAACAUCAAUAACGGUUUCAGCUACUGAAGAAAUAUCAUUAAGGGUUUGUGAUUUUGUUAAUUCUUGAUAUUUCAUAUCUUUGAAACUCAACCUAUGCGCUUAAUUGCAAAAAUUCAAUGGAAACGGAUGUGCAGUGGCAACAGAGAAGUAGGAAAAUAUGGAAAUAUUUGAAAAUAAAAAUAAGGGCAUAUGACAUGUGAAAAUAGAUUUAGACUCUUGAUCUUUGACCUAUGAAAUCACGUCCAUGUAUUAUUUUUUAUAUCAAUAAUAUUUAACACAUUUAAGUUUUAUUUUUUAAAAUCUAUUUUAUUUUUUAUUUUUUUCAUUAUAUUAUUCUCAAUAUGUUGAUUAGGUUGACGGACAUUGAUCAUUUUUUUACGAGUAACAUAAUCCAUGUUGAUGGGUGAGUUGUAUGGAAUCACUACAAGAAAAUUGACUUUUAGUGACAUACAAAGUUUGUCACCAAAAGUCAAAAAUUACAAGUAAAUGUCAAUAAUACUUUGAAUGACAUCUAAAUCUAUUGCCAAUUUUAAGGGGGCAUCUUGCUAUACUUUGAAGACUGUCACUCCAAUUUUGAGAUAUGUAACUACAUGUUUUUGAUUUCUAACUACAAUAAUGACUAUCACUAAAAACUAGAUAAAUAUAAAUAAAGAAUUAAUAUAUUCCUACAGUAUUGUUUGUCAAUAAAAAAAAGGAUAAAUAUUAAUAAGCAAUUAAUAUGUUCAUACGGUAUUGUCUGUCACUAAAACUUAUUAUUAUUUAUUAAAUUAAUUUUUUUUUAUCUCUCUAUUAAUUGUAAUUCUAAAUUAUUAAUACAAGUAAAUUAUAUUUAAAUUUCUAAUAUAUUUUUAUUAAUAUGUUCAUACGGAAAUGUCCAUACUGCAAACACAAUAUUUCCAAAUUACACAGAUCUGAUAAUCACACAAAUUUAUUUUGUCCACGCAGCAAACAUCGUAGACAAUGACAUCCUCAGACAAUUUCAACUUAUAAAGUUACUGAUUAGUUUUAAUCCUCAACAUGAAGAAUCUGUUAGAAUGCUAACACAUGGUUUCCGCAAAAACAUAUGAUUCAAUUUACUUGAUGAAGUUUUCGUUUUCUUAAAAAGAGAGAGAAGGGGACAUAAGCUAGAGGAAAGAGGGUAUAACAAAAAUGAUGAAUGAGUAGAAGGUACCUCUCCAAAUUACCUUGUACUGACAAUGCAAUUAUGUGGUUUUCCUUUUCAGACAAAAUUUUAAUCAAGCAGUGCUCUUUUCCUUAAACUAAUAUAUUCUUUAAAAAAAAAUCAUAAAAGUUGAAAGCAGAUGAACCUAAAUUGAUGUACGGUAAAUUCUAUUUCUAGCAGAGUAUGUAGUGACAAAACAGGUUUGAAAUUUCAAAAUCCUAUUGCACUAAGUAAUUAAGGGAGAUAAAUAAAAAACAACCAAUAUCAUUCUAUCCAUCAAAAGGACAAAUGGAUUAAGGACAAAUGGAUUACUUUACUUGAUCAAGUGGUUCUAGAUUUGCUUUCAUAUUGGAGGGUAACUACAUGUAUUCCUUUGCGCAACCAAUCAUAAUAAUAGCCAACAAUGGCAGAAUCAGCUGUGCAGUCCACUAAUGCCGUAUUUGGUAUAAAUUGAUUUACAUGCAUGUGUUGAACACAUUUUUCCAAAUCAGUCACUUCUCCUCUUUCCUCUCGAAGUUCUUUCCACAUUGCAAAGUCAAUACCCUUGCAGAGAGCAAUUACAAUAUGAAUUAAUUGAGCAUGAGCUUAUUUUGUCAAUCGUGCACAUAUAGCCAACGACAUAAGUUAACACAUCCCAUGAUGCAUUUUGUAAAUGUAGUUCCAUGAUGCGUAGUGGCCAAAUAAUUCCUAUUGUCAACAAUUGAACUAUAUAAGUAUGUGAGAGAGUCACGAUACUAAAAUAGAAACCAUAAAAUCACACAUAUCAAGAAGCAUGAAUUACCAAAAGUAAUCAGGUAUCACUUAAAUUUUGAACUUACAAAAAAUGAAUAAAAAUGUUCUAAGAUUAACGGCAAGCAACAAAGCCUAGCCGUGUAUCAUUUAGAGAGAUUCAAUUUAGGGAGAUUUCACUGAGAAGCAUUGACUUUGAGCCAAGUAUGUCCAUUACACGCAAAUUAAUGUUAAAUUCUUCUUUCAGAACUGAAGCCUGCAUUGAAUGAAUUUUGAAUGAACUUGUCACAUAUUUCAAGAAGCCUUCUAGUAUUUACAAAUAUGAAAUAUCCAAAUGAAUUUUUAGCAAGCCAGAGCAUCAUAUUUAAGGGAGGUAGACUACUCAAUAAUUCUACAUUUUAUUUCUAUUUCUGUUAUAAUUUUAAAUUAUGAUAUCAACUACGAAAUAUGAAACUAAUCUUAAAACAUAUUUUGAAAUACGAAAUAUGUAAGAUAAGAAAUUAAUCCUAAUACAAUAUAUAAUAUAAGAUGAUCUGCAAUAAUACUAAGAUAUUAAUAUUUAAAAAAAUUAGGUUGGACUUUAUGAAUGAUUUUUUCUUCUUCUUUAUAAUCAAAACAUAUUCUGUUGAAAAAUGUAAUAUAUAUAUAUAUUUUUUUUUAUAAGAAAACAUGUUGUAAGCAAAUAUAUUAUAUUAGGAUAGAAUUGAAUUCGAAAAAAAAAAAUAUUGCGCAAGAAUAUGAGAUUAAUGUGUUAUACGACACUAUGAGUAGAUAUUCAAUAUAUAUGAAUUUAAAAAUCUAUUAUAAAUUUAAUAUAGACACAAACAAUUUUGGAAAAUGUUUUAUAUAAAAACAAUUUUUGAAUUUGUUAAUAAUUAUUUUAUAUUUGAUAUAUAUAUAUAUAUUUCGGAAAAUCUAUUAUAAAUGCCAUAUAGUUAAAAACAAUUUUCGAAAUUGUUAAUAAUUAUUUUAUAUUCCACGUAAAUAAUAAUAAUAAUAAUAAUAAUAAUAAUAAUAAUAAUAAUAAAAUAAUAAGAAAACCAUAAUGAAAAAAUAGAAAAUAAAAAUGAGAUAUUUGUUUCUUUUUCUUUUUUAUCAGAAUAUUUUCUUCUUUAAAUGUGCUGAUUUAAAUUUAUUUUUUUGACUCAGAUUUAAAUCUUUUUAAGAUGUGGUAAAUAUAUUUGAUUUUUUAUUAUAAGUAAGCUUUUACUAUAAAUAAAUAAGAGUUUAAAGAGUUGGUGUGAAAAGGAAAAGGUAGGAAAAAGGAAAAUUUCCCAAAAUUUGGUAAAAACUUUUCUCUGAAAAAAUUUAAUGAGGUAGGUCUUGCUAUUCUGUCUAUUGUUCUUCAUGUAUAUAAACAUUUACUUGUAUCAGCUGUUUUUUUUAUCCUUAAUUAAUCUACAACCUACUAGUAUUGUUUUUAGAGCAUGUAACUCGUUGUGCAUCUCUUAUCUGCUUUCAAAGGAGGAAGAUGAGGAAUUAUGGGCUUAACCCAUGAGGCCCAUUCUGAUAAAUAAAUAAAUAAAUAGUAGGGGUAUUUUGCAUCCAAACCAAUAAAAAACGUAAAUUAAUGAAAAUCAGUUGUUAUUAUACUGACAUUUAUACUUUUUCUCUUUAAAAAUGUAAAUAUAAAUUAAUAAGUUUGAUAUAUAUGAUUUAAAUUUUGAGUCAAAUACAUUAAAUAUAAAGAAAGAGUAACUCGUGAGAAAAUAAUAGUUACAGUUUGAGUUACGUGAGACUUCAAUAUGUUGUUCUUCUCCUAUUUGUUGUGUCGGUGUCCUCUCUAUCGCUACAUGACAUCAAGUUAUCUCCGAUAAGUGGUGAGACUAAGGUUGUCGAAGGGAUAAUUUAUUGUCUCAACAUUACUUUUAACCUAUUCACGAAUAAAUUAAUCUAGGAUCUUGUAACAUCAUUUACAUGCAACACAAUAAUAAAAAUGUUUUGUUCAUUAUAAUGGAGGGUGAAUGUAAUUGUCCGGUUAAUAGUUACAAAAUUUCUUGUGAUUAUCAUUAAUAAACUAAUUAAUAGAUGGGGUAUUCACAAUUAAAUAAACGAAAAAGUGAAAGCAGUACAAAAUUGAAUAUUAUUGAAUAAUUUUCAAUUUAUUUUAUAUUGAAUUCUAUUUUUAUAUUUAUUUUUGAAAAUGGAACCAAAGCAUAAAUAGAAAUUUUAAUUUUUUUUUAGUUUUUUAUUAAUAUGAAAUAAUGUAUUCAACUAUUAUUUGUUAAUUUUAAUUAACUUUUAAUAAUAUUUAUCUGUUUAAUUUUGUAUAUUUUUAUUCUUAUGUCAGAAUUUUAAAUAUAAUUGAUCUAUUUUAAUCCGUGAUAUUAAUUUUUAGUAUAUUAUAUAUAAUAUUUUACUUAAAACUUGUUACACUAAUGUAAUUUUAUAUACUAUAAUAAAAUAUUAUACUUCAAAUUAUAAUUUAAAUCAAUUAAAAAUUGAUCCAAUUAAAAUCACAUUAAUUUAAAUUAAAUCAGAGUUUUUUGUUGUUCUUUAAUCAAACUCAAUUACAAAUAUUUUAAUAUUUAAAUCUGAUGAGUUUUUCGCAUAAAUAUUUAACAAUAAUGUCACUUUAUUAUUAUUUAUUUUAGUCAACCCAUUUAUUAUGGUAAUGUGAAAAUUAGUUGUUGUUGUACUCACAUAUACGUUUUCUCCCUUAAAAAAUAUAAAUAAAAUUUAAUAAAAUAAAAAUUGAUAUACAUAUAUAUAAUUUAAAUAUUGAGUCAAAUAAUAAAGAGUAACUCAUGUGCAAUAUAAAUAACAGCCUAACGAGCAAACAAUAACUCACAGCAAAAAACACCAUUUGUAAAUCUUGAAAAAAUAAUAGUUACUAUUUGAGCACCAUGAGACAUCAAUUUGUUGUUGUUCUUCUCUUUGUUGUGUUUGUGGCUUCUAUGGCUACAAGAAAUCAACUUAUCCCAGGUACGUGGGUCCCCAUCAAGGACCUUAACGACCCACAUGUGACCGAACUUGCCAAUUUCGCCGUAACCGAACAUGACAAACAAACACAGUCGAAUCUAAAGUUUGAUAAGGUCAUAGGUGGUGAGACUAAGGUUGUUGGAGGGAUAAAAUACUGCCUCAACAUUACUACUACCGGUGGUAUAGAUUUUAACAAAUAUACUGUUACUGUUUUGGAGAAGGCAUUGCUACACUUUAGAAACCUCACUUACUUUGUGCCUAUUCGUGAUUAAAUCAUUCUUGGAUCUUAUAGCAUCAUUCACAUGUAUUCGUGCAAUAAAGUAAUAAAAAUGUUUAUUUUUCAUUAUAAUGAAUUGUGAAUCUAAUUGUGUUGUCAAUAUUUACAAACUUUCUUAUGAAUAUGAUUCUUCGUAAAAUUGUUUAUUUUUAUUUUUAUAGAAAUCGGAAAGUUCAUAUAAGUUUUUGUAUUUUGAUGAGAUAGAUUAUUAUAACAUGUUUGAUUUUCAAUUUGCAAAACUUAAUUUUGUAAUAGAAAAAUAGUUUGACUUGAAAAUUAAUUUUUAAACUUAAUUUUUUUCUAAAUCAACGUUUAUUCAUAAGCAACACAACACUUGUUAUUUAUGGCUCUCAUUUUCUCAUUCAAAUGUGAGAUUUUUGUUAUUUUUUUUCUUUCUCCCCCAAUUAAAUUUUUUUUUUCACACUUGUUUUUUUUUAAGCUUGAAUUUUUAUGCUUGGUAAAAGUGUCUUCGAUUUUAAUUUACAACAAUUUGUUUUCAUCAUUUGUUUAAUUUAUUUGUGGUUGAGAUAUUUUUGUAGCAGUUAUUGUUAUUUAAAAAUUUCACAUCACUAUAUUAUUCACAUUAAUAUAUAUAUAUAUAUAUAUAUAUAUAUAUAUAUAUAUUAAUUAGUAAAUAUACGCUUAAAAAUAUUUUAAAUAUAUAAUUUAAUCAAAUUUUAUUAUGGAAAAUGAAAUUCGAAUACAAAAUAUUAAACAUAAAUUAUGUUAAAUAAAAUUAAUUUAACUAAAAAACACAUUUAUGAACGUUAACCGAAAAAUAUAUUUGAAUUAAAAAUAUUGGUAGAAAGAUUAUAUAAUAAGCAAAAUUCUUAAUUUUAUCUUUGAUUUAAGACCAAGAUAAUGAUUUAACACGAUCUAUGAUUUGAGCUAUAAAAUUACUACGUUGUUUGAAGACACUUGAUUGAAAGCGGUUAGAAUAAAUAUUUUUCUCAGUUUCUGUUUUACAUAAAAUUUAAAGUUUAGUACCUACAUUAUUAGUGUAUGACUCUUUCAUUAGAACUAUAUAUUUUUAUUUUGUACAUUAUUUUUUAUACUUAUUUUGUUUAUUUUAAAAAAAAUAUAUGUCAAAUAUAUAUUAUUUUACAUCAUAAUAUAAAAUAAUAUUUAUUUUUAUUAGUGAGCACUAACUAAUCUGCUAUCAUGCUAUCACACACGUAUAUAUCAAAUGCGAAUUAAUAAAGACGUAACAUAGUGCAGCAACUUGAGGCGUCUUCAAUUAUUUUUUACUCAAUGACCUAUAUUGAAACGACUAAUCAAUUGUAUUUAAAUGGUUUAAUUUUUAUUUGAAAUGAUAUUUUUGUCUAACUAUAGAAUUGAUUAAAUAAAUAUAGAUUAUCUUUAUGUGAAUUUUUUUCUUUAACUAAAUUAAACAUCACACUGAAUGAUAGAUUAAAGUUAAGGAUCAAGCGUCGAAAAAAAUACAAUUGAUAUAAAAAACCAAAUUAUAUCAAAUGAAAUUUGUCAAUUUUAUUGAGAAUUCAAAUUAAACAAUCAGAACAAUAAUAUAAACGAAUGAAAAUGAAUGGGAUCAUCGAGUAUAGAUUAACAAUAUAAGAUAAACCUCAAAGUCUUGAUAAAAUUCGAAAAUAGUGGAGUAAUCCUAUAAUUUAACAUUCCAUGAAAAAUCCAGAAAAAAAGUUAUUAUUCUAUGGUUAAAAAAUAUAAAUUGGAUAUCUAUUCUCCAAAAAAAAUAAAAACCCUUGAUUAUAAAAUCUAAUCAUUAGUUUGUUAAAAUAAUAACUCUUGAUUAUUUCACUUUACAUUUCACUCAUUUUAAAUAAUUAUAAUCAUCUCAUUUAAUAUGUCUUUAAAGAUGAUAUCGAAUGACGCUAUGAUAUCAAAGUUUAAUUUGGCACAAUUUUAGUUUUUUGAUUUUAUUUAAUCGAAAGAUAAAAAACAAUCACUAAAAUAAAUAUUUUAUAAGAUCAAAUAUGUAAUUAUUUGAUUAUAACUUUUCCUAGGAUAGAAGAUUUUGCACCUUAUUAACUAUUGACGAAAAAUUUCCCUUGGUCUCUCUUUGUUUGACAGCAUAAAAUUUCUUUAUUUUUUUAUUAAUAAAAUAUGAAACUUGCACUGUCAAAUCUCUUGAAUAAAAAAUUUACCUCUAUUGUACUCUUAUUAAAUUUGAAGAUAAUACCCGAAUAAAAAGAAUAAAAGCAUAAGAAAUCUUCUUGAUUUUUGUUUGACUUAAUACAUCAUGUAACAUCAAUAACGGUUUCAGCUACUGAAGAAAUAUCAUUAAGGGUUUGUGAUUUUGUUAAUUCUUGAUAUUUCAUAUCUUUGAAACUCAACCUAUGCGCUUAAUUGCAAAAAUUCAAUGGAAACGGAUGUGCAGUGGCAACAGAGAAGUAGGAAAAUAUGGAAAUAUUUGAAAAUAAAAAUAAGGGCAUAUGACAUGUGAAAAUAGAUUUAGACUCUUGAUCUUUGACCUAUGAAAUCACGUCCAUGUAUUAUUUUUUAUAUCAAUAAUAUUUAACACAUUUAAGUUUUAUUUUUUAAAAUCUAUUUUAUUUUUUAUUUUUUUCAUUAUAUUAUUCUCAAUAUGUUGAUUAGGUUGACGGACAUUGAUCAUUUUUUUACGAGUAACAUAAUCCAUGUUGAUGGGUGAGUUGUAUGGAAUCACUACAAGAAAAUUGACUUUUAGUGACAUACAAAGUUUGUCACCAAAAGUCAAAAAUUACAAGUAAAUGUCAAUAAUACUUUGAAUGACAUCUAAAUCUAUUGCCAAUUUUAAGGGGGCAUCUUGCUAUACUUUGAAGACUGUCACUCCAAUUUUGAGAUAUGUAACUACAUGUUUUUGAUUUCUAACUACAAUAAUGACUAUCACUAAAAACUAGAUAAAUAUAAAUAAAGAAUUAAUAUAUUCCUACAGUAUUGUUUGUCAAUAAAAAAAAGGAUAAAUAUUAAUAAGCAAUUAAUAUGUUCAUACGGUAUUGUCUGUCACUAAAACUUAUUAUUAUUUAUUAAAUUAAUUUUUUUUUAUCUCUCUAUUAAUUGUAAUUCUAAAUUAUUAAUACAAGUAAAUUAUAUUUAAAUUUCUAAUAUAUUUUUAUUAAUAUGUUCAUACGGAAAUGUCCAUACUGCAAACACAAUAUUUCCAAAUUACACAGAUCUGAUAAUCACACAAAUUUAUUUUGUCCACGCAGCAAACAUCGUAGACAAUGACAUCCUCAGACAAUUUCAACUUAUAAAGUUACUGAUUAGUUUUAAUCCUCAACAUGAAGAAUCUGUUAGAAUGCUAACACAUGGUUUCCGCAAAAACAUAUGAUUCAAUUUACUUGAUGAAGUUUUCGUUUUCUUAAAAAGAGAGAGAAGGGGACAUAAGCUAGAGGAAAGAGGGUAUAACAAAAAUGAUGAAUGAGUAGAAGGUACCUCUCCAAAUUACCUUGUACUGACAAUGCAAUUAUGUGGUUUUCCUUUUCAGACAAAAUUUUAAUCAAGCAGUGCUCUUUUCCUUAAACUAAUAUAUUCUUUAAAAAAAAAUCAUAAAAGUUGAAAGCAGAUGAACCUAAAUUGAUGUACGGUAAAUUCUAUUUCUAGCAGAGUAUGUAGUGACAAAACAGGUUUGAAAUUUCAAAAUCCUAUUGCACUAAGUAAUUAAGGGAGAUAAAUAAAAAACAACCAAUAUCAUUCUAUCCAUCAAAAGGACAAAUGGAUUAAGGACAAAUGGAUUACUUUACUUGAUCAAGUGGUUCUAGAUUUGCUUUCAUAUUGGAGGGUAACUACAUGUAUUCCUUUGCGCAACCAAUCAUAAUAAUAGCCAACAAUGGCAGAAUCAGCUGUGCAGUCCACUAAUGCCGUAUUUGGUAUAAAUUGAUUUACAUGCAUGUGUUGAACACAUUUUUCCAAAUCAGUCACUUCUCCUCUUUCCUCUCGAAGUUCUUUCCACAUUGCAAAGUCAAUACCCUUGCAGAGAGCAAUUACAAUAUGAAUUAAUUGAGCAUGAGCUUAUUUUGUCAAUCGUGCACAUAUAGCCAACGACAUAAGUUAACACAUCCCAUGAUGCAUUUUGUAAAUGUAGUUCCAUGAUGCGUAGUGGCCAAAUAAUUCCUAUUGUCAAGAAUUGAACUAUAUAAGUAUGUGAGAGAGUCACGAUACUAAAAUAGAAACCAUAAAAUCACACAUAUCAAGAAGCAUGAAUUACCAAAAGUAAUCAGGUAUCACUUAAAUUUUGAACUUACAAAAAAUGAAUAAAAAUGUUCUAAGAUUAACGGCAAGCAACAAAGCCUAGCCGUGUAUCAUUUAGAGAGAUUCAAUUUAGGGAGAUUUCACUGAGAAGCAUUGACUUUGAGCCAAGUAUGUCCAUUACACGCAAAUUAAUGUUAAAUUCUUCUUUCAGAACUGAAGCCUGCAUUGAAUGAAUUUUGAAUGAACUUGUCACAUAUUUCAAGAAGCCUUCUAGUAUUUACAAAUAUGAAAUAUCCAAAUGAAUUUUUAGCAAGCCAGAGCAUCAUAUUUAAGGGAGGUAGACUACUCAAUAAUUCUACAUUUUAUUUCUAUUUCUGUUAUAAUUUUAAAUUAUGAUAUCAACUACGAAAUAUGAAACUAAUCUUAAAACAUAUUUUGAAAUACGAAAUAUGUAAGAUAAGAAAUUAAUCCUAAUACAAUAUAUAAUAUAAGAUGAUCUGCAAUAAUACUAAGAUAUUAAUAUUUAAAAAAAUUAGGUUGGACUUUAUGAAUGAUUUUUUCUUCUUCUUUAUAAUCAAAACAUAUUCUGUUGAAAAAUGUAAUAUAUAUAUAUAUUUUUUUUUAUAAGAAAACAUGUUGUAAGCAAAUAUAUUAUAUUAGGAUAGAAUUGAAUUCGAAAAAAAAAAAUAUUGCGCAAGAAUAUGAGAUUAAUGUGUUAUACGACACUAUGAGUAGAUAUUCAAUAUAUAUGAAUUUAAAAAUCUAUUAUAAAUUUAAUAUAGACACAAACAAUUUUGGAAAAUGUUUUAUAUAAAAACAAUUUUUGAAUUUGUUAAUAAUUAUUUUAUAUUUGAUAUAUAUAUAUAUAUUUCGGAAAAUCUAUUAUAAAUGCCAUAUAGUUAAAAACAAUUUUCGAAAUUGUUAAUAAUUAUUUUAUAUUCCACGUAAAUAAUAAUAAUAUUAAUAAUAAUAAUAAUAAUAAUAAUUAAUAAAAUAAUAAGAAAACCAUAAUGAAAAAAUAGAAAAUAAAAAUGAGAUAUUUGUUUCUUUUUCUUUUUUAUCAGAAUAUUUUCUUCUUUAAAUGUGCUGAUUUAAAUUUUUUUUUUGACUCAGAUUUAAAUCUUUUUAAGAUGUGGUAAAUAUAUUUGAUUUUUUAUUAUAAGUAAGCUUUUACUAUAAAUAAAUAAGAGUUUAAAGAGUUGGUGUGAAAAGGAAAAGGUAGGAAAAAGGAAAAUUUCCCAAAAUUUGGUAAAAACUUUUCUCUGAAAAAAUUUAAUGAGGUAGGUGUUGCUAUUCUGUCUAUUGUUCUUCGAAAAAAUUUAAUGAGGUAGGUGUUGCUAUUCUGUCUAUUGUUCUUCAUGUAUAUAAACAUUUACUUGUAUCAGUUUUUUUUUUAUCCUUAAUUAAUCAAAAACCUACUAGUAUUGUUUUUAGAGCAUGUAACUCGUUGUGCAUCUCUUAUCUGCUUUCAAAGGAGGAAGAUGAGGAAUUAUGGGCUUAACCCAUGAGGCCCAUUCUGAUAAAUAAAUAAAUAAAUAAAUAAAUAAAUAAAUAAAUAAAUAGUAGGGGUAUUUUGCAUCCAAACCAAUAAAAAACGUAAAUUAAUGCUUGCUAUUCUGUCUAUUGUUCUUCAUGUAUAUAAACAUUUACUUGUAUCAGCUGUUUUUUUUAUCCUUAAUUAAUCUACAACCUACUAGUAUUGUUUUUAGAGCAUGUAACUCGUUGUGCAUCUCUUAUCUGCUUUCAAAGGAGGAAGAUGAGGAAUUAUGGGCUUAACCCAUGAGGCCCAUUCUGAUAAAUAAAUAAAUAAAUAGUAGGGGUAUUUUGCAUCCAAACCAAUAAAAAACGUAAAUUAAUGAAAAUCAGUUGUUAUUAUACUGACAUUUAUACUUUUUCUCUUUAAAAAUGUAAAUAUAAAUUAAUAAGUUUGAUAUAUAUGAUUUAAAUUUUGAGUCAAAUACAUUAAAUAUAAAGAAAGAGUAACUCGUGAGAAAAUAAUAGUUACAGUUUGAGUUACGUGAGACUUCAAUAUGUUGUUCUUCUCCUAUUUGUUGUGUCGGUGGCCUCUAUCGCUACAUGACAUCAAGUUAUCUCCGAUAAGUGGUGAGACUAAGGUUGUCGAAGGAAUAAUUUAUUGUCUCAACAUUACUUUUAACCUAUUCACGAAUAAAUUAAUCUAUUUUAAAUUUUGAGUCAAAUACAUUAAAUAUAAAGAAAGAGUAACUCGUGAGAAAAUAAUAGUUACAGUUUGAGUUACGUGAGACUUCAAUAUGUUGUUCUUCUCCUAUUUGUUGUGUCGGUGUCCUCUCUAUCGCUACAUGACAUCAAGUUAUCUCCGAUAAGUGGUGAGACUAAGGUUGUCGAAGGGAUAAUUUAUUGUCUCAACAUUACUUUUAACCUAUUCACGAAUAAAUUAAUCUAGGAUCUUGUAACAUCAUUUACAUGCAACACAAUAAUAAAAAUGUUUUGUUCAUUAUAAUGGAGGGUGAAUGUAAUUGUCCGGUUAAUAGUUACAAAAUUUCUUGUGAUUAUCAUUAAUAAACUAAUUAAUAGAUGGGGUAUUGCCUCUAUCGCUACAUGACAUCAAGUUAUCUCCGAUAAGUGGUGAGACUAAGGUUGUCGAAGGAAUAAUUUAUUGUCUCAACAUUACUUUUAACCUAUUCACGAAUAAAUUAAUCUAGGAUCUUGUAACAUCAUUUACAUACAACACAAUAAUAAAAAUGUUUUGUUCAUUAUAAUGGAGGGUGAAUGUAAUUGUCCGGUUAAUAGUUACAAAAUUUCUUGUGAUUAUCAUUAAUAAACUAAUUAAUAGAUGGGGUAUUCACAAUUAAAUAAACGAAAAAGUGAAAGCAGUACAAAAUUGAAUAUUAUUGAAUAAUUUUCAAUUUAUUUUAUAUUGAAUUCUAUUUUUAUAUUUAUUUUUGAAAAUGGAACCAAAGCAUAAAUAGAAAUUUUAAUUUUUUUUUAGUUUUUUAUUAAUAUGAAAUAAUGUAUUCAACUAUUAUUUGUUAAUUUUAAUUAACUUUUAAUAAUAUUUAUCUGUUUAAUUUUGUAUAUUUUUAUUCUUAUGUCAGAAUUUUAAAUAUAAUUGAUCUAUUUUAAUCCGUGAUAUUAAUUUUUAGUAUAUUAUAUAUAAUAUUUUACUUAAAACUUGUUACACUAAUGUAAUUUUAUAUACUAUAAUAAAAUAUUAUACUUCAAAUUAUAAUUUAAAUCAAUUAAAAAUUGAUCCAAUUAAAAUCACAUUAAUUUAAAUUAAAUCAGAGUUUUUUGUUGUUCUUUAAUCAAACUCAAUUACAAAUAUUUUAAUAUUUAAAUCUGAUGAGUUUUUCGCAUAAAUAUUUAACAAUAAUGUCACUUUAUUAUUAUUUAUUUUAGUCAACCCAUUUAUUAUGGUAAUGUGAAAAUUAGUUGUUGUUGUACUCACAUAUACGUUUUCUCCCUUAAAAAAUAUAAAUAAAAUUUAAUAAAAUAAAAAUUGAUAUACAUAUAUAUAAUUUAAAUAUUGAGUCAAAUAAUAAAGAGUAACUCAUGUGCAAUAUAAAUAACAGCCUAACGAGCAAACAAUAACUCACAGCAAAAAACACCAUUUGUAAAUCUUGAAAAAAUAAUAGUUACUAUUUGAGCACCAUGAGACAUCAAUUUGUUGUUGUUCUUCUCUUUGUUGUGUUUGUGGCUUCUAUGGCUACAAGAAAUCAACUUAUCCCAGGUACGUGGGUCCCCAUCAAGGACCUUAACGACCCACAUGUGACCGAACUUGCCAAUUUCGCCGUAACCGAACAUGACAAACAAACACAGUCGAAUCUAAAGUUUGAUAAGGUCAUAGGUGGUGAGACUAAGGUUGUUGGAGGGAUAAAAUACUGCCUCAACAUUACUACUACCGGUGGUAUAGAUUUUAACAAAUAUACUGUUACUGUUUUGGAGAAGGCAUGGCUACACUUUAGAAACCUCACUUACUUUGUGCCUAUUCGUGAUUAAAUCAUUCUUGGAUCUUAUAGCAUCAUUCACAUGUAAUCGUG